GGGGCUUCUGCAGAACUCCGACCAGCAUCAUUGCAUUGGGAACAUAGACCCCUGUGGAAUCUCAGCACCAGAACACUCUGGAUAGCUGGUGAAGGAAGAUGCUAGGAGCAAUCACCACUACAGAUCGUGGAGUUCCUCGCUAGCAGUGAAUGAAGGAGUGGCAUUUAAAUGUGGCACCAGAACAUUCUACCCAGGAAGAACUGGCAGGGGAUUAUCCAAAGAAGAGUUC
This is a long non-coding RNA of Hemiscyllium ocellatum (epaulette shark), 229 nucleotides long. RefSeq lists it as uncharacterized. The record is from RefSeq and is a predicted model, not a curated record. The transcript is spliced from 3 exons. Lineage: Eukaryota; Metazoa; Chordata; Chondrichthyes; Orectolobiformes; Hemiscylliidae.